AGAGUUUGAUCCUGGCUCAGAACGAACGCUGGCGGCGUGCUUAACACAUGCAAGUCGAACGCGAACGAGUUCUUCGGAACUUUAGUAGAGUGGCGCACGGGUGGGUAACGCGUAAGUAAUCUACCCUCGCAUCUGGGAUAACCCACCGAAAGGUGUGCUAAUACCGGAUACGUCUAAGUUAAUAUCUUUUUUUUAGAGAAAGGUGGCCUCUGAUUCAAGCUACUGUGCGGGGAGGAGCUUGCGUACCAUUAGCUAGUUGGUAGGGUAACGGCCUACCAANGCGACGAUGGUUAGCGGGUCUGAGAGGAUGAUCCGCCACACUGGAACUGAAACACGGACCAGACUCCUACGGGAGGCAGCAGUGAGGAAUAUUGCGCAAUGGGGGCAACCCUGACGCAGCGACGCCGCGUGGAUGAUGAAGGCCUUCGGGUUGUAAAAUCCUGUCAGAUGGGAAGAAGUGUGUAGUACUUAAUACGUGCUACAUUUGACGGUACCAUCAAAGGAAGCACCGGCUAACUCCGUGCCAGCAGCCGCGGUAAUACGGAGGGUGCAAGCGUUGUUCGGAAUUACUGGGCGUAAAGCGCGCGUAGGCGGCUAUGUAAGUCAGAUGUGAAAGCCCGCGGCUCAACCGUGGAAGUGCAUUUGAAACUGUAUAGCUUGAGUACUGGAGGGGGCAGUGGAAUUCCCGGUGUAGAGGUGAAAUUCGUAGAUAUCGGGAGGAAUACCGGUGGCGAAGGCGACUACCUGGCCAGAUACUGACGCUGAGGUGCGAAAGCGUGGGGAGCAAACAGGAUUAGAUACCCUGGUAGUCCACGCCGUAAACGAUGUCAACUAGGUGUUGGAGUGGUUAAUCGCUUCAUUGCCGGAGCUAACGCAUUAAGUUGACCGCCUGGGGAGUACGGUCGCAAGAUUAAAAACUCAAAGGAAUUGACGGGGGCCCGCACAAGCGGU
RNAcentral lists this ribosomal RNA (951 nucleotides) under uncultured delta proteobacterium. RNAcentral's name for it is "bacterial SSU rRNA". It matches the Rfam family "Bacterial small subunit ribosomal RNA", at positions 8 to 933 of the family's 1533-position model. The record is from RNAcentral. Lineage: Bacteria; Deltaproteobacteria.